Molecule: ribosomal RNA, 490 nt
Filed under: uncultured bacterium
Lineage: Bacteria
Description: partial 16S ribosomal RNA
Rfam family: Bacterial small subunit ribosomal RNA
Source: RNAcentral
GAUGAACGCUAGCUACAGGCUUAACACAUGCAAGUCGAGGGGCAGCAUGGUCUUAGCUUGCUAAGGCCGAUGGCGACCGGCGCACGGGUGAGUAACACGUAUCCAACCUGCCGUCUACUCUUGGACAGCCUUCUGAAAGGAAGAUUAAUACAAGAUGGCAUCAUGAGUCCGCAUGUUCACAUGAUUAAAGGUAUUCCGGUAGACGAUGGGGAUGCGUUCCAUUAGAUAGUAGGCGGGGUAACGGCCCACCUAGUCUUCGAUGGAUAGGGGUUCUGAGAGGAAGGUCCCCCACAUUGGAACUGAGACACGGUCCAAACUCCUACGGGAGGCAGCAGUGAGGAAUAUUGGUCAAUGGGCGCAGGCCUGAACCAGCCAAGUAGCGUGAAGGAUGACUGCCCUAUGGGUUGUAAACUUCUUUUAUAAAGGAAUAAAGUCGGGUAUGUAUACCCGUUUGCACGUACUUUAUGAAUAAGGAUCGGCUAACUCCGUG